AUUGAACGCUGGCGGCAGGCCUAACACAUGCAAGUCGAGCGGAUGACGGGAGCUUGCUCCUUGAUUCAGCGGCGGACGGGUGAGUAAUGCCUAGGAAUCUGCCUGGUAGUGGGGGACAACGUUCCGAAAGGAGCGCUAAUACCGCAUACGUCCUACGGGAGAAAGUGGGGGAUCUUCGGACCUCACGCUAUCAGAUGAGCCUAGGUCGGAUUAGCUAGUUGGUGAGGUAAAGGCUCACCAAGGCGACGAUCCGUAACUGGUCUGAGAGGAUGAUCAGUCACACUGGAACUGAGACACGGUCCAGACUCCUACGGGAGGCAGCAGUGGGGAAUAUUGGACAAUGGGCGAAAGCCUGAUCCAGCCAUGCCGCGUGUGUGAAGAAGGUCUUCGGAUUGGAAAGCAAUUUAAGUUGGGAGGAAGGGCAGUAAGUUAAUACCUUGCUGUUUUGACGGUACCGACAGAAUAAGCACCGGCUAACUCUGUG
This 484-nucleotide ribosomal RNA is filed under the name uncultured bacterium. RNAcentral's name for it is "partial 16S ribosomal RNA". It matches the Rfam family "Bacterial small subunit ribosomal RNA", at positions 30 to 507 of the family's 1533-position model. The record is from RNAcentral.